GAUGAACGCUGGCGGCGUGCCUAAUACAUGCAAGUCGAGCGAACAGAUGAGGAGUUUGCUCCUCUGACGUUAGCGGCGGACGGGUGAGUAACACGUGGAUAACCUACCUAUAAGACUGGGAUAACUUCGGGAAACCGGAGCUAAUACCGGAUAAUAUAUUGAACCGCAUGGUUCAAUAGUGAAAGACGGUUUUGCUGUCACUUAUAGAUGGAUCCGCGCCGCAUUAGCUAGUUGGUAAGGUAACGGCUUACCAAGGCAACGAUGCGUAGCCGACCUGAGAGGGGGAUCGGCGGCACGAGAGCUGGACCGCCGUCCAGACUCCUGAGGGAGGCAGCAGUAUGGAAUCGUACGCAAUGGGCGAAAGCCUGACGGAGCAACGCCGCGUGAGUGAUGAAGGUCUCCGGAUCGUAAAACUCUGUUAUGAGGGAAAAACAAAUGUGUAAGUAACUAUGCACGUCUUGACGGUACCUAAUCAGAAAGCCACGGCUAACUACGUG
RNAcentral lists this ribosomal RNA (497 nucleotides) under uncultured bacterium. RNAcentral's name for it is "partial 16S ribosomal RNA". It matches the Rfam family "Bacterial small subunit ribosomal RNA", at positions 28 to 507 of the family's 1533-position model. The record is from RNAcentral.